RNAcentral lists this ribosomal RNA (334 nucleotides) under uncultured eukaryote. RNAcentral describes it as "partial 18S ribosomal RNA". It matches the Rfam family "Eukaryotic small subunit ribosomal RNA", at positions 1470 to 1796 of the family's 1831-position model. The record is from RNAcentral.
CCCUUAGAUGUCCGGGGCCGCACGCGCGCUACACUGAAGGAAUCAGCGUGGCUUUCUCCCUGACCCGAAAGGGUUGGGAAACCCGUUGAAUCUCCUUCGUGAUAGGGAUUGGGGCUUGAAAUUGUUCCCCAUGAACGAGGAAUUCCCAGUAAGCGCGAGUCAUAAGCUCGCGUUGAUUACGUCCCUGCCCUUUGUACACACCGCCCGUCGCUACUACCGAUUGAACGGUUUAGUGAGGGCCUCGGAUUGGUCUCGGCCCGCUCUUUACCGGGCGGCGCCGUUGGUCGAGAAGACGCUCGAACUUGAUCGUUUAGAGGAAGUAAGAGUCGUAACA